RNAcentral lists this ribosomal RNA (483 nucleotides) under uncultured bacterium. RNAcentral's name for it is "partial 16S ribosomal RNA". It matches the Rfam family "Bacterial small subunit ribosomal RNA", at positions 28 to 507 of the family's 1533-position model. The record is from RNAcentral.
GACGAACGCUGGCGGCGUGCUUAACACAUGCAAGUCGAACGAUGGAGCGGGUGCUUGCACUCGUGGAUUAGUGGCGAACGGGCGAGUAACACGUGAGUAACCUGUCCUUUUCUUUGGGAUAACGGCUGGAAACGGCUGCUAAUACUGGAUAUUCAGGCUGCAUCGCAUGGUGUGGUUUGGAAAGGUUUUUUCUGGGAUUGGGUGGGCUCGCGGCCUAUCAGCUUGUUGGUGGGGUGAUGGCUUACCAAGGCUUUGACGGGUAGCCGGCCUGAGAGGGUGGGCGGUCGCACUGGGACUGAGAUACGGCCCAGACUCCUACGGGAGGCAGCAGUGGGGAAUAUUGCACAAUGGACGAAAGUUUGAUGCAGCGACGCCGCGUGGAGGGUGUAGGCCUUCGGGUUGUGAACUCCUUUUUCUCGCGAAAAAGGCACAGUUUUGGCUGUGUUGAUGGUAGUGGGGGAAGAAGCGCCGGCUAACUACGUG